UGCAAAUCAAGUAUUCAAGCA
This 21-nucleotide unclassified non-coding RNA is filed under the name Dictyostelium discoideum. The record is from RNAcentral. Lineage: Eukaryota; Evosea; Eumycetozoa; Dictyosteliales; Dictyosteliaceae.